GCCUUAGUAGCGCAGCUAACGCGCGAAGUUGACCGCGCUGGGGGAGUACGGUCGCAAGAUUAAAACUCAAAGGAAUUGACGGGGACCCGCACAAGCGGUGGAUGAUGUGGAUUAAUUCUAUGCAACGCGAAAAACCUUACCUACCCUUGACAUGUCUGGAAAGCCGAAGAGAUUUGGCCGUGCUCGCAAGAGAACCGGAACACAGGUGCUGCAUGGCUGUCGUCAGCUCGUGUCGUGAGAUGUUGGGUUAAGUCCCGCAACGAGCGCAACCCUUGUCAUUAGUUGCUACGCAAGAGCACUCUAAUGAGACUGCCGGUGACAAACCGGAGGAAGGUGGGGAUGACGUCAAGUCCUCAUGGCCCUUAUGGGUAGGGCUUCACACGUCAUACAAUGGUCGGGACAGAGGGUCGCCAACCCGCGAGGGGGAGCCAAUCUCAGAAACCCGAUCGUAGUCCGGAUCGCAGUCUGCAACUCGACUGCGUGAAGUCGGAAUCGCUAGUAAUCGCGGAUCAGAAUGUCGCGGUGAAUACGUUCCCGGGUCUUGUACACACCGCCCGUCACACCAUGGGAGUGGGUUUCACCAGAAGUAGGUAGCCUAACCGCAAGGAGGGCGCUUACCACGGUGGGAUUCAUGACUGGGGUGAAGUCGUAACAAGGUAACCGU
This 664-nucleotide ribosomal RNA is filed under the name Alcaligenes endophyticus. Its description in RNAcentral is "bacterial SSU rRNA". It matches the Rfam family "Bacterial small subunit ribosomal RNA", at positions 837 to 1503 of the family's 1533-position model. The record is from RNAcentral. Lineage: Bacteria; Pseudomonadati; Pseudomonadota; Betaproteobacteria; Burkholderiales; Alcaligenaceae.